This 245-nucleotide ribosomal RNA is filed under the name uncultured bacterium. RNAcentral's name for it is "partial 16S ribosomal RNA". It matches the Rfam family "Bacterial small subunit ribosomal RNA", at positions 528 to 772 of the family's 1533-position model. The record is from RNAcentral.
UAGGUGGCAAGCGUUAUCCGGAAUUACUGGGUGUAAAGGGUGUGUAGGCGGGACUGCAAGUCAGAUGUGAAAACUCAGGGCUCAACCCUGAGCCUGCAUUUGAAACUGUAGUUCUUGAGUGCUGGAGAGGCAAUCGGAAUUCCGUGUGUAGCGGUGAAAUGCGUAGAUAUACGGAGGAACACCAGUGGCGAAGGCGGAUUGCUGGACAGUAACUGACGCUGAGGCGCGAAAGCGUGGGGAGCAAA